Molecule: non-coding RNA, 8413 nt
Organism: Taeniopygia guttata (zebra finch)
Lineage: Eukaryota; Metazoa; Chordata; Aves; Passeriformes; Estrildidae
Source: RefSeq, a predicted model, not a curated record
GCCACUGGGCUGGUACCGAGCGCUGUCAGAGGAGGACAUCUGUCACACGCCGCCUCCACCGCCACCCACCGCCCCACGCCCCGCUGCCCCCGCCGCGGACGGGCCGGCGGCAGGCUCUGGCGCAGACUCUGCGAUCCUCAGCCUCAACGCCCGUGUAAUGUGCUCUGCUCGGUUCUACAAAGCCCCCAGCAAACUGGACUAAAAACCAUUAGGUACAUCAGCAUGAGGUAGCUAUAGGAUACCCCUAUUCCUUCACCAGAAUAAGCGUUCCUUUCUUUUUGCAGCACACAAACCAGAGCUGGCUUCCGUGACCAGAAUUUGCCACAGUGUAAGAUGUGCACAAGAAAGAUGCUAAAGUGUGGUUUGUUGUUUUGUUGGUGCUUCCCCCUCCCCCCCGCCCCAUAAGAUAUCUGUGAUUUGGAGCUUUCUCAUGUGAGGUGUGAAAUACUCUUGGCUGGCUCAUCUCCCAACUUGCUUUACCUUUAUUCUGCUUUGUAAAAAUCAAGAUUGAUGGGAUGAAUUUCCAGUGCCAAAAGAACGAACACCUUAGAAAAGCAGCCCAGAAACAUGAUGUAACAUCUGAACAUGUCUCUUAGUCAGCAUUUACUGCUGGCAACAUAAUAGCAGUGUCCUAUCAUCUUGUCCUCCAAAAUAGAUGAGCUGCUGCCAGAAGAUUCAGGAUGGGGACACAAUACAAAACAUUUCCCUGGCACAAACUGUCUCAGGUGUUUGCAUCCUUGAUGAAGGAAGCCCCAGUUUUUUGAGAUGUGCCCCCUUCUGAUAAAUAUCUUCUAUCAUUACCUCCGGUGGUACACAGUGAAUAGUAAAUUUUGACAGCUGUCACUCAUUCUUUGGCAUUUCCAGCUCUUAGGAAGGAAUUACAGAAAUGGCAAAAGUGGAAAGUUUUGACAGCUGAGCCACAGGUGAGAGAUCAGAAUUUGCUGCGUCUUGUUACAGCCAAAAAAAGAGUGUCAUAAUGUACAUGCACAGUAACAUGAUUUUUCUGGUUAUGAUGAUGUACGUGUACAUCUAGAAAUAACCAGCAAGUUCGUUGCCAUGUGAAAAUCAAGUCAAUAUUAUAAAUACCUGAUAAAUUUAAAAACACAGCACACUUAAGGGCUGGUUCCCCUUCAGACGGAAUCAUGGGUGUCGUUCCCUCUCAAAAAAUAUCAGAAGUUUAGGUAUGAUAGAGUAAUGAAAAGCCAUAAAAUGAUGCAAGAAAUAAAAUUAGGCAACUUUUUCCUGGGAAUAAAUAUAUUUCAACUUGGACUAGAACAAUUUUUUCCGCCUUCUAAAUAGAACAUUACUGAUAUGUGAGGACCCUUCUGCCUCGGAAUGAAACUCCACACAUCCACCAUCUCAAAGAACUGGAACCUUUUUCUCUGAAAUCCUUGCACAGACACAUUUACUCACAACUUCUACAGCCAUACCUGGGCCCUUUCAGGCUUGUACAGCUGCUCUCUGGCCUUUCAGAGACGUGCAGGCACUGCUUGCACGCUCUUGUUAAGAGUCCAAGGACUUGGGAACAUCUUGCAGCAGCAGAGGAAUAACCUACUUCCACAGCUCAGGUUUCAAAGGUUCACCCUGCUUUAUACUAAACAGAAGUGAGAAAAAGCAUUAAAAGCUGCUAUAGCUUCUGCUCAUGAAAAUCACGGUCUUCCUCUAUUAAGGGAGGGAAAACCAACAAACAAUUAAAAACCAACUGAUUCCUCCAAAGCACUAAAUAAACAAAGGACAAGCCUAAAUAACACCAAACAAGCAAAAUAUAUAUUUUCUAGUCCUGCCUAUUCUGGUUGGCACUUUUUUUUCUUUUUUUGGCUGAUCUCUGAUCUAUCUUAACCCUUCACCUAAGUUUUCUUGCCUCAUUCUGUUUAUUAUGAUCACACAGACUCAAGAUGCUGCUUCGUUCCCAAAUCUUUUAUUUUUAAUAAAUUGCUGAUUUCAUAAUCUCUAAUGCUAUGGCUUCUACCUACCAUCAGUCUUCCCCAUUUCCAUCCCUGUCCUGUUCUCCUGGGUAAGUAUCUGGGGUUUCAGCUCUUUAUAUUGCUAUUUAUUCAAAUCUCUGCUAUGUAAUAAUAACCAGUGCUGCUUAUUUACUCAUUCUCUUAUUCUUCUCUUUGGGAAAAAUCUCCAAGGAGUUGUUCUUGUAUAAAACAGCAAAUACCAACUCAAGAAACAGGCUAUGGAUUUGAGAGAUUUUCUGGAAAACUUGUGAACUAGAAGCCAGUGAACAAAUAAAACUAAUUCUUGUGCAUUCUAUCAUUUUUGUGCCUAUGCCCAUCAUCCUUGCACGAAGCAGAGAGAAAGCUGGGAGUAUCCCGAGUACCUUUUAAAAGCCAUUAUGGGGUAAUGUGCAUUAUACAGUGUAUUACAAGUGCAUUCAUUCAUCAGCUGUGGGGGUGGUAGAGCAGGAUAGAGGAAACUGGGAUACUCUGGUAGCCGAGUUCCCAGCACAUCCUCCAUGGUGUGUCAGGAGUAUCAGAGUGGGCUCCCUGUUCCAACACUUGAGCUGAAUGGAGUGCUGGAAUCACAAAGCUAAGAAAGGCAGCAGUGCCUUAAAGCCCUGCAGCUCCCAGAGUUGUAUCACAGGGAGAGCCCUGGGAAGGCUUGGUCUAGCAUUUCAGCUCAAUCCCAAAAGUAGCAGCAAAGAUUUAUCAAAACAUACUCUGUUUUCUUUCUUUGGUCCUUCAGCCCUUCAAAGCACACAAUUUCACACCACUGCUUAAUUAGAACAGCUCAGGUGAAAAGCUUGUCCAGCAAGAAUCGUCCCCUCCCUCUUUUCACAUAUCCACAUCUGUACCUAGCACCACAUUCCUGUGCUCAGAAAUGCAAACACUUCUCUGCUCCUGCUUUUCCCAGUCACCAGUAUUACCACUGCCUGCUUUAGGAUACUAUUGGGAAAAACUGUUUUGUUACUGGAUAUAAUACACCAUUCUCUGUAUCUUCUCUUCUUAAUGUUUAUUCUGCAGAAUUUCCCCAACAGAACAAGGACACAGCAUCUUUUUGUUUUCUCCUCUAAUCCAUUCCUAACAAAUAAACCAAACCGGACAAAUAAAAAUUCAAAAUAAAAUUGCAAAUGACACCCUGAACAUGAGAUGACACCAACAAGUAACUGAUGUACUAUAAUAGUAUUAAACAGCAAGAUAUUUUUACAAAGGCCAGAAAACACCCAAUGACCCAAGCCAAAACACCUGAUGGCUGCACAAGCCACUCCUGAGCAUUUCAAACACUGAAAAUGCAAUUCACUGUGCUAUGUUAAACAUUUCCAUAGAAGCAAAUCCUCUGUCAAAUAGAGUGUGAAAAGCAAAUGGAGCCAGCAACUGGAAAAUGAAUCCCCAAAACAGUCUGUCAUGGAAUUACGGUUUCCCAAUAUCCAUUCAAACCGAAUAUCCAAGUCAAAUCCUAACAGAAUAAAUGAAAUUAAACUAUCCAACAUCAUAAGAAAAAAAUUGGAUUUUAUCUCCGAGGAAAUGCCUCCAUCUCCAGUGGAAGGUGUCCCUGCAUGUGACAGGGCAGUUUUUAAGUAGUUUUGUUUUUCAGAUGAUCUUUUUUAAAUGGUCUUUAAGGUCCUUUCCAAUCCAAUCCAUUCCAUGACUUUUCCCAACUGACUGCUAUACAAAAUCUUCUCAGUUUCACUUCUCUAACAAUCUAGCACAACAGUGCAAGGAACAAUUGUUCAGUGAUAACACAAAAAAACUCAUUAAAAAAAUACACCCUUUCAUAAAUCAAAAAGCAGAAGCCAGAAGACCACAGAAUGGGUGUGAUUCUACCAAGCCACCAGCCAAAGCUCAAUAAAAUCCAGCAGGUAAGGUACACAACUAGCAUUACAUUAAAGCAAACAAGACAUGAACACCAUAAACAAUAUCCAAAGAGAUUUCAAGCAGUCAUUCUGCAUCUGGUGCUUUUCUGGAGAUGGAAUUGACUACAUAAUGAGCACCAAGUUUUCAUUUUUAAUCAAUUACAUUUUUUAGAAUUUUAUCCAGUUAAGACUUGCUUUGUUAAAAAGUACACCAUUUGCAAGAUACUUAAGAAAUUAAAAUAUUUUAUGAAAGUAAAUGAGACAUUAAGGGAAAACCUGAUAAAAGGAAAUCCACAAAUAAAUAGGAAAAUUGUAAAUUUUGAAAUCUAGGAUAGCAGAUGAUUUGUGGCCAUUUAUUACAACCAGAUUAUUUUCCCUGCCAACAGCCACACAAUUUUUUUCCAGAGUUAAAAAAUCUGGAGUCUAAAAAACUGAUAAAAAAUAUUCCAUAGUCAAUUAGAAACUUCACAUCUGUGAGCUUGGGCUCCUUUUCUGAAGCAGUAGGUAUUUCUGUGGGAAGAAACCCUGAAGUUCACACCAGGAAUUGGCAUUAGCUCCAGACUUUUCCACUGGGUGGUGGUAAUGAGAUCAGGAAGUUCAGGAGAACCCUGAGCACCACCAGUAUUCACUCAUUUCUGUAUUCAUUCAUUCGAUCACUCUGUCUCUCCCUCCAUGCACACGUUCCCACCCGAUGUGUACACAUGCCACGCUGGAAACCUACUGGCACAGCAAUGAAAGGAUGAACAGAAUCGGUCUAAAAUUUUUCAGGGCUGGACUAUAAAAUUAAUCUUAACACAGUUUGCUGCUUUAGCAUUCGGUUAAACGACAUCAUUUUCUCAGUGUAAAACCUGAAGAGAGUUGAGGUGAGACAGAUGACAGGUCAGAAAAUAGCGCUAUUUAUUCCUGAACGAGCAGGUAUAAAUUAGAGCCCCACUGGAGGAAAAAAUGCUCCAGAGAUUCAUAUUGUAAUACAUUUCAUCGAGUUCAAUAUGUGACGUGCUAUGAUGGCUUCCUUUUUCAUGUGAUCUGUAAUUGUCACAGAAGAGAAUGGAAAUUAAAUUUAAAAUGUUGUGUUUACUUUCCCAACGUUACACAUUUCAGCAAGAUCCAUUUUUCAAAGUGGGAAUGUUUGGCAUAAUCUGAAAAUCAAAGCCCUUUACAAUAUUUAUGGUUACGACCUCCCAGCUUAAAGCACCAUAAAUCACAUCAGGCAUUAACUGGUUCACUUUCACAGGGCACCAGUUGUAACAAUACCAAAACACAGUACAGUAUUAAGCACGUGCUGGGGAAGGAUAUUUCUAAUACUAUAUAAUCUGAUGCAUUGCCAUGCUUUUAAAACCACACCAUUUUUAUUAAUUAUGAUUUAAAUACUGGUAGAUAGUAGAGUCCAGUAACAGCCUUAAAGUCCUUUUUUGGCCCUUCUGAGUUGCUUGAUAGAUGGUUGACACUAUCAGCUUACUGUCUGAAGGGCCCUGUUUAUUCAUUAGAACAAUUUCUUUUCCCUAAUAACUCAUGACUUACCAAUCUGUCUGCUGUAGUGAAAGAAUGUAAUUACAAAUUGGCAUGUUAAAAUACUAUCAAAAGAAUUUAAUCCAACUUGCAAAAUAUUAAUAAGUUAUGUGUUUAAUUAAAGAUAACCAUAUCAAAAUAUCUCAAGUACAUUAUAGAUUACUAGCCUGAAAAAAUAAAUGUGGCAAAAAACCAAGUCAGUAUUGCUCUAAAAAUAGGGAGGACUUCCAAAGCCCAGUGUAUCUGGUUUGGCAUUUGGACAAGGAAAAAAAAUGUCUACAUAAUUCAUUUAAGAACUUACUCAUUGCUCCAAGCUAUAUAAAUCAUGCCAAGUUUUACCAAAUGCAUUUUUCCUUGAGUAUCUGUAAGACCUGUGUGAUCACAGAAGACAAGGCAAAAGACUAUUAACAGACAACUGCCAUGGGUAAACUACAAAUCUGUGUCCAAACAGCAACAUGAACACUUCUUUCUUCAUCCAGUUUUUGGGGUGCCUUGGAGCUAGGGUGCUCUUGUAUUGCUGAGUCCUGAAUUAACAAUCCUCAUCUGGGGGAAUAAAGUAUCAUAACUAUUAAUGACUACACAUUAGUUUAAUUAAAAUAAUGAGUACUCUGACAUCAUUUAUUUAUUAUUAGAGUGCAGCACAUUAGUUCCAUGAUUUUUCUACUCUACAGCUUUGUUCACAUGGUCUUUUGGAUCAACAAUUUCUUGUGAUAGUUACAUGGGAAGUGCCAUAGAAGAAAAAUCUUCUCCAGUUUUAAAAGAUUAUGUUCCACUUCCUUCUUUGCAUAAUCAUUACACAAUGUAUGCAUGCAUAUAUAUGUAUAUACACACAUAUAAACAUAUAUAUGUUUGGAUCAUUAGUAGUUUAAUUUUCUACUUUCAUUAUUGCUAUGUAACACGCUCCAGUGUCACUUGACAUAUUUCUGUAACUGCAUGUUACCUUCUCUCCACACAAACCUGAAUCUAGUACAAGAUAUCUAUUAUCUAGACCUACACUCAAAGCAUCAUUGCUUUUACAGAAUUUCAAUAUCUAAAUAUAUUAAAUUACCCUUGAACUAACCUUAGCAUCAGCAUUCCCACUAGAACCAGUGACCCUAAGGCAUUCUAAAUGCCUGAAGUUAAGAGGAAAAGAAAGUAUAAAAUGUCUUAAAAGUCAAAACACAACUGAACUAUUCCCUGGAAACCCAUGUGCUACAGUCUUUACAGGAAAAUGCAUUUACUUUAAAAAAAAACAGCCAAACCAAAAAAUACAUGCAGAAAGAAAAAAAAAUCUGUACUCAAAUUGUCACCACUCUGGAAGAAAUAUUGUUUAAACUUGCUGAUCUUGAGUUAGUUUGAAACAAGAAAAACAAAAACCCAACAAAGCAACAAACAACCAACCAGCCCAGCCUCUAAACCAACAAAAAUACUUCCACCCUACUGGUUUUGAAGCCCAUCUUUGGAUUUGUACCUUGUAUUUAUUAAGCCUGAGCCUGGCAGGACAGUCCCUCACUCCCUCAUGAUGCCUAAACCUGCCACUUUUAAAUGCCUGUGCUUCUACCUCUUUGUCAGCUGGAAAUCACCAUCAAUUAUUUGACCUAACACUGAAAUAAAAUAUUCUUCAAGCUUUUCUCUCCCUUUUUUUUAUAAAUAAUCAUGCUUUAUUGCAAGACACUGACAUCUCUGCAGCUUCUGCUGGUAAAGCUUUAUUGUCAUUACUUUAAUGCUUGAACAUAAAUUGAUUCCUUGAGCUUCCUAGUUAUUUUUGUACAUCUUCUCUAAAUUCCCUCUGCUCACUUUCCUGAGUGAAUAAUUCUCUUAUAAAAGUGUAUUUGUAUCCAAAUGACCAUAAGCGUAAUGUACUUGCAGGCAGAUUAUAUUUAAAAAUCAACCCUUAAAGACAGCAAUUUAAGUUUUUUGGUUGGAUAUUCAUCUCCAUUAUGCCCUCCAUGUUAUUUUCAGAAAGCAAAACAUUGAUUAGUUUUGGAAUAACACCCUAAAGGUUGAAAAGCAGGAGCUGUAACAAAAUUAUCUCACUGAGGGUCUUUGAGAAUAAAAAUAAUGCUCAGGGAGUGCCACUGCAAAAUGAGAUUGCAUGUAAGGAUGCAGGGCACACAUUUACCUCUAUGCUGCUGCUCCUUCAUCUUUCUGGCUUUCCACUCGUGGAGGUUCUCGUGGGGGCUGACUUUGGCACUCCAGGCUGCCCUUGCACUCUCCCCUCGUGGCUGGCAAGCCCAUCCUGGCUUUUUAUAGGGACCACAGAUUGCUCUCACACCCACAAAUUGCUCUUCUCAUUGCUUAAAUUCUAGCACAGUCAAUUCUUUACCUGUAAGUGAUGCUUCAUUUUUCCUACCAUUUCUCAUCUGCAGUUUACUCGCCCUUCACAUGAGGAACUAACAAGAAAGCCAAGAGAAACCCAAACACUAUUUGUAUGAAUUUAUUAGCAGGAAGCCAAUUUUUGCUCAAUAUUACAACCGUGCAUUUUGGAUUUAACAGAACAUUCCUCAAACUGAAGGCCAGCAGAGAAGUAAGUGGUUUUUGGACAAAGCAUUUUCUGCCCUCGUGAAAACAGCAGCAGGAAACAAACUCCAGUGGUCAAAAUUGGAUCAUAAAGAUGAAAAACCAUAUGUGUUUCUGGUCUUUAAAUUGCUACUCUGCAGAGUGAUAAGAGACAUCAUAUAGAACCUUAUCAGGAUUUAAUUUCCUAACAGAAAUGAGAAAGGAAUGUGCAAAGCCCCUCUUACAUGAGCUAGCAUUAGAUUGCCGUACACGAUAAAAAUAUCUUAACAGGCGUAUACCUAAAGAAGAUUACAUCCCAUCUCUCCUUCCUGAAGAUGCUUUCUAUAUACAAAUUCUUUUAAAAAUAGCAUAUUUCUGGUUUUCUGUGCAUGACUGUGUUCUUCAGGAGAUGUUUUCUGGCAAAACCCUCCUCACAGUUACCGUAUCCUUUUAGUGCUUCCAUAAUAAUACCUUGUAAAAUGCUCUUAGUGUAUGAGGUUUAUGAAUGAAACCUGUCAAAGUAUAUGUACCACAAAAACAUUUGCUAAAUUUCUUUGAAAUUUAAUUCUUGGCUGUAGUCUGUGUCACAAAGGUUCUAUAAUAAAGCCACCAUCACUAUGUGAAAAA